ACCUGGGCUACAUUGUCCUACA
RNAcentral lists this unclassified non-coding RNA (22 nucleotides) under Mus musculus (house mouse). Its description in RNAcentral is "oocyte_clustered_small_RNA12690". The record is from RNAcentral. Lineage: Eukaryota; Metazoa; Chordata; Mammalia; Rodentia; Muridae.